Molecule: long non-coding RNA, 840 nt
Filed under: Anser cygnoides (Swan goose)
Lineage: Eukaryota; Metazoa; Chordata; Aves; Anseriformes; Anatidae
Description: lncRNA (ENSACDG00005008353.1)
Source: RNAcentral
UUAAACAACUCAGGGAAGUCUGUGGAUCAUAGACCCCAGUUCUUUUGCAUGACUUGAGCUUCUGCAAUAUUUCAUGGAAGGGCGAGAUUUUGGAAUGAAAGCAGCUUGGAUUCCUUGGGAGGCAGGCUUGCCUUCUUGGCAGAUUCGAUGGGGCCAGAUGGGAUCCAUGCAGGGGUAAUGCAGGAGCUGUUGGAAAUGCUCACCAAGCAGCUUUCUAUCAUUUAUCAGCAGUCCUGGCUAUCAGGGGAAGUCCCAGUUGACUGACAGCUAGCAAAUGUGAUUUCCAUCUCCAGAAAUGCUGGAAGGAGGACCCAGGGAACUACAAGAUUAUCAGUCUGACUUUGGUGCCAGAGAAUGUUAUGGAGCAGAUCGUCCUGAGUGCCAUCACUUGGCACAUACAGAACAACCACGUAAUCCAGCCCGGUCAGCUUGGGUUUAUGAAUGGCCGGACCUACUCAACUAAUCUGAUCGCCUUUCAAUGACAAGGUGACAUGCUUACUGGAUGAGGAUUCUGCAUUUGUUCAUGGAUGAAGUCCGAAACCAUUGGAAAGUGACAAUUGUGAUAGGGCUGACAGGAACAGGAGACCUUCACCUUCUUCUGAUAAUGGGAAUAAAUGUCACUGUCUUCUUGAAAGAAUAUACACCAGCUUCAACAGCAACAUAUGUAUAUAUAUAUUUAUAAAAUUAAGGAAAAAUAAUGUUGCCAGAUAAAAUUCUGGCAGAUGGAAACAUGUACUAGUUUGUUAAGUUGUUGAGGAUGUGUAUUCUAUAAAAUAAGACACAAAGAGAAGUACAAAUAUAGUAGAACUAGAAAGUUCAUGACACAUUUUGUCCUGGUUU